Chionomys nivalis (European snow vole) is the source of this 1655-nucleotide long non-coding RNA. RefSeq lists it as uncharacterized. The transcript has 6 exons. NCBI's taxonomy places the organism in Eukaryota, Metazoa, Chordata, Mammalia, Rodentia, Cricetidae. The record is from RefSeq and is a predicted model, not a curated record.
GGCGGGGCCUACGCGUCACUACACCACCAGUCGAGUUGCCGCAGACUCAGGUGCCCCCUAGGGUCAGAGGAAGGCAGCAGUGCACAGCCAAGAGGGAUCUGUUUCCAUGUUCAUUACAAAAGGCCAACAGGCAAGACUGUACCUGGGUUUUGGAUGAGGAGAACAGGAAGCGCCUUUCCGAAAUGUGUGACUCUGCACACUGUCUUCGCCACUGGCGUCUUUGUACCCAAAACUCUGCUUUAAAUACGAGAUGGACUUAAAUACUGAGUUGAACUUCCAACUAUGAAUUCUGAUUCCCGACCUAAUUGGUCACAUGCGCAGAACCUAACCAAUCAAGCCAGCCAAGCCGGGAGAGCUCAACUGACUGAGGGAUCUGUUUCCAUGCUCAUUACAAAAGGCCAACAGGCAAGACUGUACCUGGGUUUUGGAUGAGGAGAACAGGAAGCGCCUUUCCGAAAUGUGUGACUCUGCACACUGUCUUCGCCACUGGCGUCUUUAAAUACAAGAUGGACGCCAACUGUCUCAGCUAUCUAACCCAAACUUCCAACUAUGAGUCCUGAUUCCCGACCUAAUUGGUCACAUGCGCAGAACCUAACCAAUCAAGCCAGCCAAGCCGGGAGAGCUCAACUGACUGGUAAGGUUGAAGUCCUGUGACCUGUGUGGGUCUGUGGUGAGGAGGCUCUAAGGAGGGCGGGCUAUGCAGAUGUAAUACUGUCCCUACUGAACAAAGGGUUUCACUACCUCGUGGCCAUCCUUUCUUAUGAUCCAACUAAACAUGCAGGCCCGCCAUUUUAUGUUCCAGACGCUGAACUUAAAAGGUUAUUUGGUACAAAGUGCAGCAUUCGGUUCCUUGAGGAGGCUGAUGCUUUGGAAGAACGACACAAAGCCUGGGGACUUGAUUACAUUUUUGAAAAACUGUAUCUCCUUACAGAAAAGUAAAACACAGCUGCUGGUGGCGGCCACGCCUUUAAUCCCAGCAUGCGGGAGGCAGGGGCAGGUGGAUCUCUGUGAAUUCCAGGCCAGCCUGGUGUAUAAGCUCCAGGGCAGCCUGGGCUAUGCAGAGAAACUCUGUCUUAGAAAAAACAAAAGCAAAACAAAAAUAAUCAAUCCUUGUAUGAGUUUUUGAAAAAUAAAAGAUUAUGUUAAUGCUUGAAAGUAUAAGCACUUGGAAUUUUCUUAUGCAGCGCACAGAUCUUUGCUCGUGAGUUUUUAAGUGAAAUUGCACAUUAAAUACCGUGUGUCUUUUUAUAGUCAGCAUGUAUUACUUCCAUAAUCAAAAAUCAAAAAUCUAAUGCCUGUAACUUUAAGCAACAAAUAAAAAAUAUAUAUUAUGUAUGAAAACUGGAGUCACCGAGGAAAUGUAAGAUCUUAGUAGGAUUUGGGGUAGUCUAAAUCGUUUAUUAAAAUUGUACUUCACUAUAAAUCCUAAUCUACUUCGGUCCUGGGAUCCCAGCUUCACAUGUUUCCCCACUUGAAUAAUUUUAUAUAUAACAGAAUCAAGAAACAAUACAGAACAAUUUUAAACCAACCUAUAUGGAAAAAAGUAUUUUCUCCAAAUUAUAAGAAUAAAACCUUAAAAAAAAUUUUUUUUGAGUUUGGCAAUUUUUUUUCUUUUAGUUUAGUCUUACUUAGAUGGGUGGCACAGGGCUAUUUAU